UACGGGAGACAUAAGAGUGCACGGUGGAUGCCUUGGCCUAGGACGGCUAAGAAGGACGCGACUAACCUGCGAAAAGCUUCGGGGAGGCGGUUUGUAGCCUUUGAUCCGGAGAUAUCCGAAUGGGGAAACCCUCCAGUGUUGAACUGGAAUCCGUGGGGUAACGCCCGCGCGAAGCGAACCCGGGGAAGUGAAACAUCUCAGUACCCGGAGGAAAAGAGAACAAUCGGAGUUGCGUUCCAUUCAAGCGUAUGUUCGUUUGAAUGGAACGCGACUCUCGUGAUACCCCGAGUAGCGGCGAGCGAAAAGGGAAAAGCCCAAACCCGCACACUCACUUUGCCAUUGUGCCAUGCGUUGUUCCGGAAAUUGAUUUCUGGACGCGCCUGGUCCAAUGGGGCGUUCAUACUGUCACCGAAUCGGUUGGCACGAGAACAACGAUGGCAAAGUGAGUGUGCGGGGGUUGUAAGAUGCGAACAUCGUACUUGUACGAGAAGAGUUAUCAAUCGUCUGUAUAACAGAAGCUGCUGGGAAGCAGCGCCCCAGAGGGUAAUGGCCCCGUAUGUGAAAUACAUGACGACUCUUGUUCGUAUUCUUGAGUAGCUCGAGACAUGAAUAGCUCGAGUGAAUCUGCCGGAACUAACCGGUAAGGCUAAAUACGUCCUAUGACCGAUAGUGAACUAGUACCGUGAGGGAAAGGUGAAAAGCACCCCGAGAGGGGAGUGAAAUAGACCUGAAACCGUGUACUUACAAGGGGUCGGAGCGGAUGCUUGCAUCCGUGACGGCAUGCCUAUUGAAGAAUGAGCCGGCGAGUGUCCCUGCACUGCUUGUCUAAGAGGUUACGCCUCGAAGGCUAAGCGAAAGCGAGUGUUAACAGCGCGUCCGUGGAGUUUUCUCCACCGGCAGUGUUGGGACGACCCGAAGCCAGAUGAGCUUGCCAUGAGCAGGGUGAAGUUUGUCGAAAGACAGAUGGAGGCCCGAACCCGUAGAUCGUACAACGUCUUGGGAUGACUUGUGGCAAGGAGUGAAAAGCUAAUCGAAUCUGGGAAUAGCUGGUUCUCUCCGAAACAGCUUUUGGGCUGGCGUUGCGAACAGUGCGCGUGGGGGUAGAGCACUGGAAGGGACCAACAGGGAGAAAUCUCGUGGUUCCUAUCAAACUCCGAAUACCACGCGCUCGCGCAGCAGUUAGAAGGUGGGGGCGAAGCUCCAUCGAUCGAGAGGGGAAGAGCCCUGAUCGCCAAUUAAGGCCCCAAAAUCGACAUUCAGUACAUCACAAGGAAGUGAGGAUCCAUAGACAGUGAGGAUGUUGGCUUAGAAGCAGCCACCAUUUAAAGAAAGCGUAACAGCUCACUCAUCGAGGGUUCUUGCGCCGAAGAUGAUCGGGGUUAAAUGUCGUGCCGAAAUUGCGGGUUUGUGCGCUUCAUUGAGGAGAUGUUCAUUCAACAAAGUUAACGAUGAGGAGGUGCGAGAUGAAACAGUACCUACUGACCUACAAGGUAAGUUCAUUCGACGGACAGUCCAUUGUCGCAACCACUAUCAUCGCAGAAGAUGAUAUGGAGGCUGGAGUCUUGGCAAAGAAAGCGUGGAAGGUAAUCAAGCAACGAGAUACAUGUUGUUACUCAACCUAUCCCGAGCUCUUCAGUCUAGACAGCAAAGAGAUAGCCAUUCGAUUCGAAUGAAUUUUAGAAAUGGAGGCGGUAAACAUGAAGCCGAGGAGUCCCCUCGGCUCCUCAAUGAAGCGCACAAGCGGUAGGAGAGCGUUCUGUUCGCGCUGAAGCUUAAGGGAUAACCCAAGGUGGAGCGUACAGAAGUGAGAAUGCCGGUACAAGUAACCACAAUGCGGGUGAGAACCCCGCACGUCGAAAGACCAAGGUUUCCUCAGCUAUGGUGAUCAACUGAGGGUUAGUCGGGCCUAAGGGGAUGGCGAGAGCCGAACCCGAUGGACACACGGUCAAUAUUCCGUGACCGUUUAUAGGGGCUAAGGAGUGACGGACUGCUGUAUGGGUUGCCGGUAAUUGGAUUCCGGUCAUUACUGCGAGGGCGCGCGUUAGGGAAAUCCGGCGCGCAUUACCCCGAGCAGUAGCGCAAUUUUCUCCUUCGGGGGAAGAGAGAACGCAAAGCGCGGUUUCAAGAAAAUCUUCUACGCAUUCAACUCUAUAGACGCCCGUACCGCAUACCGACACAGGUGGUCCGGUCGAGAAGACCAAGACGAACGAGUAAGAUGUCCUCAAGGAACUCGGCAAAAAAGCGGCCGUAAGUUAGCGAUAAGGCCUGCCCCUUGCCUGCAAGGGUGGGGGGCCGCAGUGAAAGUUUUUCUGGCAACUGUUUACCAAAAACACAGCUCCCUGCAAACUCGUAAGAGGAAGUAUAGGGGGUGACACCUGACCAAUGCCGAAAGGUUAACCAUGGUUGGUGCAAUUACUUCGGUGAUUGUGCUGGACUGUGUAAGCCCCGGUGAAUGUCGGCGAUAACUAUAAUCGUCCUAAGGUUCCGGGCUCGACACUUUGUCGAACCCGGAAGGACUAGGACGGUUAUAGGGUGAACAGAGAAAUACACCAAGUUACCUGAGUAUGAAGCAAUUCAUACUUUGUCCAAUGUGACUCUAAGAGGCCAUACGUCAUAGUCCAGACAUUUCGGUGUUUGGAACAAGAUAUGGUCCUUCGCGUGUCUUUAAGGAAUCGAAGAGCGUAAUUCCUUGUCGGGUAAGUUCCGACGUGCACGAAUGGUGUAAUGACUGGAAAACUGUCUCGAGGACUCGCUCGGUGAAAAUGCACUUCCGGUGAAGAUGCCGGAUACCUGUAGUUAGACGAAAAGACCCCAGGAGCUUUACUACAGCUUCGUAUUGGCCCUGCGGGAUUCAUGCGUAGCAUAGAUGGGAGACUUUGAAGCGCCGCUCUCGGGUGGCGUGGAGUCGUCAGUGAAAUACCAUUCUUGAAUCUUGCAGUGUCUAACCUUGUUGGGAUCCAACAGGGGACCGUGCGUGGCGGGUAGUUUUGGUGGGGCGCUAUCCUCCUAAAAAGUAACGGAGGAGUCUAUUAAGGUUCUCUAGCCGCGAAUGGAAACCGUGGCGAUAGUGUAAGAGCAUAAGAGAGCUUAACUGCGAGGGGUACGUCCCAAGCAGAUGCGAAAGCAGAGUCUAGUGAACCGAUGGUACGCCUUAGAUGCGGCCAGAGAUUAACGGAUAUAAGUUACCCUGGGGAUAACAGGCUAGUUCCGCCCAAGCGUCCAUAGCGACGGCGGAGUUCGGCACCUCGAUGUCGGCUCACCUUAGCGCGG
RNAcentral lists this ribosomal RNA (3270 nucleotides) under Patescibacteria group bacterium. RNAcentral's name for it is "partial 23S ribosomal RNA". It matches the Rfam family "Bacterial large subunit ribosomal RNA", at positions 1 to 2550 of the family's 2925-position model. The record is from RNAcentral.